UUGUUGAUUAUAUGAGAUGCAAAACACGCCAACCCUAUCAGAACUAAUGGGAACAGCAGAAACUGCCCUGGAAGAAGACAGUGCUGUAAAUGUCCUCUGCUUUACAAAUAUUUACCUUCAACGUGAAUUGCACCACAAGGCCCACUAUAACCUGUGCGACUUAAGUAGCAGAGAGGCUCAAUUACAGAUAAUCCUUGAUUUAUGACCACAAUUGAGGCCAAUUUUUCUAUUGCUAAGUGAGACAUUUGUUAAGUGAGUUUUGUCCCAUUUUAUGACCUCUCUUGCCCCAGUUGUUAAGUGAAUCACUGCAGUUAAGUUAGUAAAAGGGUUCUUAAGUGAAUCUGGCUUCUCCAUUGACUUCACUUGUCAGAAGGUCACAAAAGGUGAUCCCAGGACACUGCAACUGUCAUACAUCAGUUGCCAAGCUUCUGAAUUUUGAUCACGUGAACAUGGGAAUGCUGCAAUGGUCAUAAGUGAAAUCUCUACAAAGACUUUUCUAGCCACAGUCGCAAUUCGUUCGAGUAGAAGCUAAAAGUCCAAGAGAACCCUCAAACUGAAUCACACUUGACUCUUCCUGAGUUUAUACGGUGUGUCAGGGUAAUUUCUUGGAAUAUCAUGAAGUCUUGGUAGUACAGUGAUCUAAAGCACCCUGUUAUUAAGACCAGCUGCCUGCAAUUACUGCAGAUUCGAAUCUCUCCAGGCUCAAGGUGGACUCAGCCUUCCAUCCUUUCUAAGUUUUACAGAGAGAAACCAGACAGAGAAGUAAAUCCUUUGUUCUUAACAUAAUGAACCUGGACAGAUGAUCCAUAUGUGAAGACGUACACUGGAUGCAAGAUGAGGAGAUUUUAGAUUGUAUAUUUGAAACUUCCAGUGGGGGUUUAAAAAAAAAAUCAGCAUUCCAUUUGAAAUAAUAAAAUUCAGUAUUAAACACUAGGAAGAAGAUUCUGCUACCCCAUUCUAUAAAUCAAAUCUAAAUCAAGUUAUUGAGAAGAUGAAGGAAGCAAUUCUAGAAACAGAACUGGCCAGCGUCUUGCCAGCACUAUGUUCAAAUGAACUGCCUGACUUAGUACAACAGACUGAUCCAUUCAACAUACUAAGAUAAUGGUUAGGUUCAUCUAGCUUGGUGAACCACAAAUUAGCAAAUACAUUUUAGCAUGUUGUGUGAACUUAAGAGUUAAACAUGUUCAGUUUUAUUAAAAUGAAUAGUUUUGCUGUGGAGUUUAUUAAAAUAAACUGCUUGCUUCUGG
Molecule: non-coding RNA, 1247 nt
Organism: Pantherophis guttatus
Lineage: Eukaryota; Metazoa; Chordata; Lepidosauria; Squamata; Colubridae
Source: RefSeq, a predicted model, not a curated record